Molecule: long non-coding RNA, 4025 nt
Filed under: Homo sapiens (human)
Lineage: Eukaryota; Metazoa; Chordata; Mammalia; Primates; Hominidae
Description: non-protein coding lnc-CPLX1-2:7
Source: RNAcentral
UGCAAGCCUCUGCAGAGGCGCUGGAGCUGGGUCAGUCCGCCGCUCACCCCGCGGCCGCACCUUCCCGCCUUCUCAGCUUACAUGGCGUCUUCAACAAAAAGUAAUUGUUUAGAGAAGUGACAAGAUGAAGGAGGACUCUGAGUCCUAGUCUCCCUCCUCGAGUCCCUGUGUGAGCAGAGGUAAACAAUGAAAACUCACCAACCAGGAGAAAUUCACCUAGGACUGGCGCAGAAGGUAUACACCAUGAGCCUGGAAAUGAUUUAAAAAACAACACAGGCUGGGCGCGGUGGCUCACACCUAUAAUCCCAGCACUUUGGGAGGCAGAGGCGGGCGGAUCACUUGAGGUUUGCGAGUUGGAAACCAGUCUGACCAACGUGGAGAAACCCCGUCUUUACUAAAAAUACAAAAUUAGCCAGGUGUGGUGGCGCAUGUCUGUAAUCCCAGCUACUGGGGAAGCUGAGGCAGGAGAAUCCCUUGAACCUGAGAGAUGGAGGUUGAUGUGAGCUGAGAUCACACAAUUGCAGUCCAGCCUGGGCAGCAAGAGUGAAACUCCAUCUCAAAAAAACAAAAAAAACAACCCACAACUGUGGGCCAAAGGGACACAGCGACAAGGGGUCCCAAUGGGCGAGGCUGGAAUAACUUGAAUAGCAGAAUAAAGUAGCAUUGGAUUAUAAUGCACAGGGCUGAAGAAAUAUCGAUGAGUCUUUGCUGAUGUAAUAAGUGACUGAAUGAGCUGGGCAGAGUGGGACCUGUAGUUCAGCUACUCAGAGGCUGAGGUGGGAGCAUCAGUUGAGCCCAGGAGUCAAGGCCUAGUAAUAUCCCAUUUCCAAAAUAAAAGACUGAAUUAAUAAAUAGAUGGGAGAGAGGAGACAAUUGACCAUGCAGGAGGAGUCCAAAUAUUUGUUCUUUGAGGCAGGAUCUUCCUCUGUCAUUCAGAAGGCUGGAGUGCAAUGGUGCGCUGUUGCCUUGCUGCAGCCUGGACCUCCUGGGCUCAGGCAGUUGUCCCACCUCAGCCUCCCAAGUAGCUGGGACCAGAGGCAUGCACAUCCAGCCGAGUCCAAAUAGUGUAUGCAGAUAUGCCCUCACAGAGGUGACCUGAACUUUCUGAGUUGUGAGUGAGCUUCACCUGGGGACCUCCUUUUAGGUAGCAGGGAAAAAGAGGAGGGUGAGCCACACCCAGGCACCUCCUUCCAGAGAGCAUGUGCCUCAGCCUCCAGAGUAGCUGGGAUUGCAGACAUGUGCCACCAGCCCGACUAAUUUUUGUAUUUUUAGUCGAUACGGGGGGGUCUCACUAUGUUGCCCAGGCUGGUCUUGAACUCCUGGGUUCAGGUGAUCUUCCCACUUCAGCCUCCCAAAGUGCUGGGAUUACAGGUGAGAUAAAACUUCCUUAUUCACAGACUACAUGAUUGUCUAUAUAGAGAACACUCAUCUAAAGCAACAGCAAUGAUUGCCACAAAGACCCUCGUAGAGCCAGUAAGUGAGUUUGGAAUGUUCACCAGUAACACAUACAAAUUAAUCUUAGGGCUGCGUGCAGUGGCUCAUGCCUGUAAUCCCAGCACUUUGGGAGGCUGAGGCCGAGGCUGGUGGAUGGCCUAAGGUCAGGAGUUUGAGACCAGCUGACCAACAUGGUGAAACCCUGUGUCUACUAAAAAUAGGAAAACUAUCCAGGCAUGGUGGCGGGCACUGUAAUCCCAGCUACUCAGGAGGCUGAGGCAGGAGAAUCGCUUGAAUCCGGGAAGCAGAGGCUGCAGUGAGCCGAGAUCGCACCAUUGCACUCCAGCCUGAGCAACAAGAGUGGAACUCUGUCUCAAAAAAAAUAAAAGACCCGGUGUGGUGGCUCAUGCCUGUAAUCCCAACGCUCUUUGGGAGGCUGAGGCAGGCGUAUCACCAGGUCAGGAGUUGGAGAUCAGCCUGACCAACAUGGUGAAACCCUGUCUCUACUAAAAAUACAAAAAUUAGCCGGGUGUGGUGGCACACACCUGUAAUCGCAGCUACUCAGGAGGCUGAGACAGGAGAAUUGCUUGAACCUGGGAGGCAGAGGUUGCAGUGAGCUGAGAUCAUGCCACAUUUGAACCCGUGAGGCAGACGUUGCAGUGAGCCGAGAUCAUGUCACUGCACUCCAGCCUGGGCAACAGAGCCAGACUGUCUCAAAAAAAAAAAAAAAAUCUUACUUCUAUAGACAAUAAAACAUUGGAAACUGAAGUUAAAAACACAGUAGCUCCUGAGAGAGAGAGAGAGGUAUAAAUCUAACAAGACAAAACAGGAUCUGUAUGCUAAAAAGACUAUGUAUGUGGAGAGACGGCACACAGCACGCUCAUAGACUGGAAGACUGAACAUAAGAUGCCAGUCUCAGAAGGAUCUGUGAAAUUAACAAAAUUCCAAAACAUUGCAGUAGGACUCUUUUUAGAUUUAGAAAAGAUGAUUUUAAAAUGUAUACAGAAUGGUGAAGGAGCUAGCUAAAACAGUAAAAAGGAUAGAUAAAACAAUGUUUUAAAAAGAACAAAAAAGUUAGAUGAAUCACAUUACACAGUUUUAACAGACUUUAAAGCCACAAAAAUCAAGACUGUCGUAUUGGCAAAGAACAGACAGAUGGGUCAGUGAUCAGAGAGUCUAGAAACAGACCCACAUAAAUAGGGCCAUUUGAUCUUUGACAGCAGUGCAAACAAAAGCAACCCUGUGGAGAAAGGAUUGUCCAUUCAACAGAGCAGUGGGGCAGUUGGUCAUCCAUAUGGUAGAAAUGGAACCUUGGCCUAAACCUCACAUUGUACACAAUUAACUCCAAUCAUAUGUAAACGUAAAACAAAACUAUAAAAUGUUUGGAAGAAAACAGAAAAAUACCUUUGUACCUGAUGACAUUUGGUAGAGUUCUUAGACAUGAUCCCAAAGGCAUAAUCCACAGAAGAAUCCAUAAAAGAAAAAUUUGUAAAUUGGACUUUAUCAAAAUUAAAAACUUACUUUUUUGAGAUAGGGUCAUGCUGUGUUGUCCAGGCUGGAGUGUGGUGGUAAGUCAUAGUUCACUGCAGCCUCGACCUCCCGGGCUCAAGCCAUCUUCCUUCCUCAGCCUCCUGAGUAGCUGGGACUAGAGGUGCAAGCCACUAUUCCUGGUUUUAAAAAUUUUUUCCAGAGUCUGAGUCUUGCUGUAUUGCCCAGGCUGGUCUCAAAUUCCUAGCCUUAAGUGAUCCUUCCACCUUCGGCCCCAAAGUAGUUGAGAUUACAGGCAUGAGCCACCGUGCCUGACCUAAAAACGUUUGAACUACCAAAGACAGUGUGAAAAGAAUGAAAAGAUGAGGAGAAAAUAUUCACAAAUCACCUGUCAACUAAGGACCUGUAUUUGGAAUACACAGAGAACUCUUAAAACUCAACAGUAAGAAAACAGUCCAACUAAAAAGUGGAAAAGACCUGAUCAGACAUGCACCAGCAAUGACACAGCAUUGACUGUUGGGCACAGGAGAAGAGGCUUGACACCACCAGCCACCAGGAAAUGCAGAUUCAGCCACCACGCAGGACACGAGGCACCUGCACCACAGCCGCAGUGCAAGAGAAUGCUGGUGGUGCCCCAAGCUGCCAGGGUGUGGACCUGCUGGAAAUGGAAGACGGCAUGGUGGUUUCCUAUAAAGUUCAAUGUACACAGCCACAUGACCCAGCAAUCCCACUGUUGGGUAUUUAGAGAAUGAAAAACUUAAGUCCACAUAAAAACUGUACGUAAAUGUUUACUGAUGCCUUAUUCAUAAUCAUCAAAAGCUGAAAUUCAAAUGCCUUUCAUUGGGUGAACUGGUAAACUGUGGUAUAUCUAUGCAGUGAAAUACUCCUCUGCAGUGACAAUGGGGAGAGACUGACACAUUGGGCACCAUGGGGGUGGGAAGAGGUGAAGGAAGGUUGGGGGAAGGCGCCGUGGUCAGGUGUGGCACUAAGGAGAUUUGGGGGUGGAGCCAUUCUGUGUGUGGACUGUGGUGGUGGUCGCGUGACUGUACAUGUGUUAAAGCUUCAAACAAAAAAGUUAAAAAUUUUAGUUUAAAAUAUUAAAA